GAAGUGAUGCCGCUUCCGGGGCUAUGGGAAUACGGCCCGGUGCGGUGAUGGUGGGUAAAUCUCCGGCCUUUGCACAGGCGGGAGUUUCAUCUGGCGGUCGGCGUCUGAGGGUUGCCUCCCUCAGGCGCCGCCG
Molecule: non-coding RNA, 133 nt
Filed under: Streptomyces silvensis
Lineage: Bacteria; Bacillati; Actinomycetota; Actinomycetes; Kitasatosporales; Streptomycetaceae
Description: Streptomyces RNA 6925
Rfam family: Streptomyces RNA 6925
About the family: Identified by deep sequencing of transcriptome at the end of exponential growth phase.
Source: Rfam by way of RNAcentral